GACAGCAGUCGCCGCGGGAAUACGAAGGGGGCUAGCGUUGUUCGGAAUUACUGGGCGUAAAGCGCACGUAGGCGGAUACUUAAGUCAGGGGUGAAAUCCCGGGGCUCAACCCCGGAACUGCCUUUGAUACUGGGUAUCUCGAGUCCGGAAGAGGUGAGUGGAAUUCCGAGUGUAGAGGUGAAAUUCGUAGAUAUUCGGAGGAACACCAGUGGCGAAGGCGGCUCACUGGUCCAUUACUGACGCUGAGGUGCGAAAGCGUGGGGAGCAAACAGGAUUAGAUACCCCCGUAGUCCCUGUCUCUUAUAC
RNAcentral lists this ribosomal RNA (306 nucleotides) under uncultured bacterium. Its description in RNAcentral is "partial 16S ribosomal RNA". It matches the Rfam family "Bacterial small subunit ribosomal RNA", at positions 507 to 807 of the family's 1533-position model. The record is from RNAcentral.